This 301-nucleotide ribosomal RNA is filed under the name uncultured bacterium. Its description in RNAcentral is "partial 16S ribosomal RNA". It matches the Rfam family "Bacterial small subunit ribosomal RNA", at positions 509 to 809 of the family's 1533-position model. The record is from RNAcentral.
CAGUCGCCGCGGUAAUACAGAGGGUGCAAGCGUUAAUCGGAAUUACUGGGCGUAAAGCGCGCGUAGGUGGUUCGCCAAGUUGGAUGUGAAAUCCCCGGGCUCAACCUGGGAACUGCAUCCAAAACUGGCGAGCUAGAGUAUGGUAGAGGGUGGUGGAAUUUCCUGUGUAGCGGUGAAAUGCGUAGAUAUAGGAAGGAACAUCAGUGGCGAAGGCGACCACCUGGACUGAUACUGACACUGAGGUGCGAAAGCGUGGGGAGCAAACAGGAUUAGAUACCCCGGUAGUCCCUGUCUCUUAUAA